AUGGCCGCCGCCACCUCCCCCGCCGUCGCAUUCUCCGGCGCCGCCGCCGCCGCCGCCGCCAUGCCCAAGCCCGCCCGCCAGCCUCUCCCGCGCCACCAGCCCGCCUCGCGCCGCGCGCUCCCCGCCCGCGUCGUCAGGUGCUGCGCCGCGCCCCCCGCUGCUGCCACCUCCGCCGCGCCCCCCGCCACCGCGCUCCGGCCCUGGGGCCCGUCCGAGCCCCGCAAGGGCGCCGACAUCCUCGUCGAGGCGCUCGAGCGCUGCGGCAUCGUCGACGUAUUCGCCUACCCCGGCGGCGCGUCCAUGGAGAUCCACCAGGCGCUGACGCGCUCGCCCGUCAUCACCAACCACCUCUUCCGCCACGAGCAGGGGGAGGCGUUCGCGGCGUCCGGCUACGCCCGCGCGUCCGGCCGCGUCGGCGUCUGCGUCGCCACCUCCGGCCCGGGGGCCACCAACCUCGUCUCCGCGCUCGCUGACGCCCUCCUCGACUCCAUCCCCAUGGUCGCCAUCACGGGCCAGGUCCCCCGCCGCAUGAUCGGCACGGACGCGUUCCAGGAGACGCCCAUAGUGGAGGUCACGCGCUCCAUCACCAAGCACAACUACCUGGUCCUUGACGUGGAGGAUAUCCCCCGCGUCAUCCAGGAAGCCUUCUUCCUCGCGUCCUCUGGCCGCCCGGGGCCGGUGCUGGUUGAUAUCCCCAAGGAUAUCCAGCAGCAGAUGGCCGUGCCUAUCUGGGACACGCCGAUGAGUUUGCCAGGGUACAUCGCCCGCCUGCCCAAGCCACCAUCUACUGAAUCGCUUGAGCAGGUCCUGCGUCUGGUUGGUGAGUCACGGCGCCCAAUUCUGUAUGUUGGUGGUGGCUGCGCUGCAUCCGGCGAGGAGUUGCGCCGCUUUGUUGAGCUCACUGGGAUUCCGGUUACAACUACUCUGAUGGGCCUUGGCAACUUCCCCAGCGACGACCCACUGUCUCUGCGCAUGCUUGGGAUGCAUGGCACUGUGUAUGCAAAUUAUGCAGUCGAUAAGGCUGACCUGUUGCUUGCAUUUGGUGUGCGGUUUGAUGAUCGCGUGACUGGGAAAAUCGAGGCCUUUGCAAGCAGGUCCAAGAUUGUGCACAUUGACAUUGACCCAGCUGAGAUUGGCAAGAACAAGCAGCCACAUGUCUCCAUUUGUGCAGAUGUUAAGCUUGCUUUACAGGGGUUGAAUGCUCUAUUAAAUGGGAGCAAAGCACAACAGGGUCUGGAUUUUGGUCCAUGGCACAAGGAGUUGGAUCAGCAGAAGAGGGAGUUUCCUCUAGGAUUCAAGACUUUUGGCGAGGCCAUCCCGCCGCAAUAUGCUAUCCAGGUACUGGAUGAGCUGACAAAAGGGGAGGCGAUCAUUGCUACUGGUGUUGGGCAGCACCAGAUGUGGGCGGCUCAGUAUUACACUUACAAGCGGCCACGGCAGUGGCUGUCUUCGUCUGGUUUGGGGGCAAUGGGAUUUGGGUUACCAGCUGCAGCUGGCGCUGCUGUGGCCAACCCAGGUGUUACAGUUGUUGACAUUGAUGGAGAUGGUAGUUUCCUCAUGAACAUUCAGGAGUUGGCAUUGAUCCGUAUUGAGAACCUCCCUGUGAAGGUGAUGAUAUUGAACAACCAGCAUCUGGGAAUGGUGGUGCAAUGGGAGGAUAGGUUUUACAAGGCCAAUCGGGCGCACACAUACCUUGGCAACCCAGAAAAUGAGAGUGAGAUAUAUCCAGAUUUUGUGACGAUUGCUAAAGGAUUCAACGUUCCGGCAGUUCGUGUGACGAAGAAGAGCGAAGUCACUGCAGCAAUCAAGAAGAUGCUUGAGACCCCAGGGCCAUACUUGUUGGAUAUCAUCGUCCCGCAUCAGGAGCACGUGCUGCCUAUGAUCCCAAGCGGUGGUGCUUUCAAGGACAUGAUCAUGGAGGGUGAUGGCAGGACCUCGUACUGA
RNAcentral lists this ribosomal RNA (1944 nucleotides) under Triticum aestivum (bread wheat). RNAcentral describes it as "partial small subunit ribosomal RNA". Lineage: Eukaryota; Viridiplantae; Streptophyta; Magnoliopsida; Poales; Poaceae. The record is from RNAcentral.